RNAcentral lists this ribosomal RNA (579 nucleotides) under uncultured bacterium. RNAcentral's name for it is "bacterial SSU rRNA". It matches the Rfam family "Bacterial small subunit ribosomal RNA", at positions 102 to 677 of the family's 1533-position model. The record is from RNAcentral.
ACGGGUGAGUAAUGUCUGGGGAUCUGCCCGAUAGAGGGGGAUAACCACUGGAAACGGUGGCUAAUACCGCAUAACGUCGCAAGACCAAAGAGGGGGACCUUCGGGCCUCUCACUAUCGGAUGAACCCAGAUGGGAUUAGCUAGUAGGCGGGGUAACGGCCCACCUAGGCGACGAUCCCUAGCUGGUCUGAGAGGAUGGCCAGCCACACUGGAACUGAGACACGGUCCAGACUCCUACGGGAGGCAGCAGUGGGGAAUAUUGCACAAUGGGCGCAAGCCUGAUGCAGCCAUGCCGCGUGUAUGAAGAAGGCCUUCGGGUUGUAAAGUACUUUCAGCGGGGAGGAAGGCGAUGUGGUUAAUAACCGCAUUGAUUGACGUUACCCGCAGAGGAAGCACCGGCUAACUCCGUGCCAGCAGCCGCGGUAAUACGGAGGGUGCAAGCGUUAAUCGGAAUUACUGGGCGUAAAGCGCACGCAGGCGGUCUGUUAAGUCAGAUGUGAAAUCCCCGGGCUUAACCUGGGAACUGCAUUUGAAACUGGCAGGCUUGAGUCUCGUAGAGGGGGGUAGAAUUCCAGGUGUA